CUUCAGUUAAAGCAACUACCCGAAUAGGGUUCCACUCUAUAGAACAACUUCUAGGUGAAACUGGAAACCACGCUUCAACAGUUCAAGUGUUCAACUAUACAUUGAACUGUUAAAGAUUCCAAUUCCUUUACAUAAUGGAUUGGGGAUCGUCUUUUUCUUUUCUUCAUUAUCAUAAAAAGCUAUUCGUCCCUUGAAGAGUGAAGAGUCGGUUUAGCAUCUAUACAAACUUCUUCCAAGCUUCCUCAGGCUUAGCUUUUGUUACCCCCGAUUCUCAAUAACCCAGGGUUUGUUUUUGUGCUUUGAUCGAAGUUUUGUUUUUCUUUGUUCAGAAGACACCAAAAAGAAAAUUCUCAAGACCAAGAAAUAUUUUAAGAGAGAAAGACUUUAAAGAAGAAGAAGGCAAAGAUGAGUUACUACAAUCAGCAGCAACCUCCUGUUGGUGUUCCUCCUCCUCAAGGGUAUCCUCCAAAGGAUGCAUAUCCACCGCCAGGGUACCCAGCUGAAGCUUAUGGCUACCCGCCUCCACAGUACGUAGCUCCUCCUCCUAGACAGCAGCAGGAUACCAGUUUUCUUGAAGGAUGCUUAGCAGCACUCUGUUGUUGUUGCCUUCUGGAUGCUUGCUUCUAAGGAGAAUGAAGUGAUCAGCUUGGUCAUUUGUCAACUGUCGAUCAUCCUUAACUCCAAUUAAGGGAAAUUAAUUAAUUACUUUUAUCUAAUGUGUAUGGAUUUUUUUUUAUUUGGUUUUGAAUGUAUAACAUGGUAGAUUUAUAUCCAUAAACUACUCGAUUUUCAUCUAAUGUGUAUGGAUUUUUUUUUAUUUGGUUUUGAAUGUAUAACAUGGAUGUAGCAUAUUUCGAGGCUCAGUUCCUUUUGUAAUUCAUGAAUGAAUUUUAUUCUACGUGUGAAGAAAAAA
Long non-coding RNA from Durio zibethinus, 913 nucleotides. RefSeq lists it as uncharacterized. The record is from RefSeq and is a predicted model, not a curated record. NCBI's taxonomy places the organism in Eukaryota, Viridiplantae, Streptophyta, Magnoliopsida, Malvales, Malvaceae.